UUUGUUUGUAUGAUUAAGCAUAUAUGAGUUACUAGUCUAUUGGUUAAGUGUUAGUGAAAUUGUCCUUAAACCCCAAAUUUGAAUCCCUUCCCUUGCAUUUUUUUAAAAUUUUUUUACAUUUCUUUUGUUUUUAACCCUAUUGCCGCCUCUAGGGUUUAAAAACCCUAGUAUUUAAACAUCUUUUUUCUCCUUUUUGCUUUCACAUUGCCACCCUUGCCCGAAACACUCAAAAACUUUUCUCUCAUCCAUCCCUUGUAUAGCCCUCUCCUUAGCCUCCUCUCAUUUUUUUCCUAUUUUUUUCUCUCUUCUUUCUUUCUUUCUUUUGCUUAUACCGCCACCCUACUCCCUUGGACCAUCGUUGCCGCCACCUUGCACCAUAUUACACCACCGUAGUAUCACCUUGCAUCGUCACCACACCACCUUGGACCUCUGCCUGCACCAUCUUAUGCUAUUGUCGCCCCUUCUCCAUCAUUGUUGCAUCACCACCAUUUAUUUUCUCCUCCUCUCUUUUCG
Molecule: long non-coding RNA, 513 nt
Filed under: Gossypium raimondii (Peruvian cotton)
Lineage: Eukaryota; Viridiplantae; Streptophyta; Magnoliopsida; Malvales; Malvaceae
Description: long non-coding RNA (GRAI_LNC009964)
Source: RNAcentral